GACGAACGCUGGCGGCGUGCUUAACACAUGCAAGUCGAACGGUAAGGCCCUUCGGGGUACACGAGUGGCGAACGGGUGAGUAACACGUGGGUGAUCUGCCCUGCACUUCGGGAUAAGCCUGGGAAACUGGGUCCAAUACCGGAUAGGACCACUGCCUGCAUGGGUGGUGGUGGAAAGCUUUUGCGGUGUGGGAUGGGCCCGGGGCCUAUCCGCUUGUUGGUGGGGUGAUGGCCUACCAAGGCGACGACGGGUAGCCGGCCUGAGUGGGUGACCGGGCCUACUGGGACUGAGAUACGGCCCAGACGCGUACGGGGUGCAGCAGUGGGGAAUAGUGCACAAUGGGCGCAAGCAUGAUGCAGCGACGCCGCGUGAGGGAUGACGGCCUUCGUGUUGUAAACCUCUUUCAGCACCGACGAAGCGCAAGUGACGGUAGGUGCAGAAGAAGGACCGGCCAACUACGUGCCAGCAGCCGCGGUAA
RNAcentral lists this ribosomal RNA (478 nucleotides) under uncultured bacterium. Its description in RNAcentral is "partial 16S ribosomal RNA". It matches the Rfam family "Bacterial small subunit ribosomal RNA", at positions 28 to 523 of the family's 1533-position model. The record is from RNAcentral.